UACGAAGGGGGCUAGCGUUGUUCGGCGAAUUACUGGGCGUAAAGGGCUCGUAGGUGGCCAACUAAGUCAGACGUGAAAUCCCUCGGCUUAACCGGGGAACUGCGUCUGAUACUGGAUGGCUUGAGUUUGGGAGAGGGAUGCGGAAUUCCAGGUGUAGCGGUGAAAUGCGUAGAUAUCUGGAGGAACACCGGUGGCGAAGGCGGCAUCCUGGACCAAUACUGACGCUGAGGAGCGAAAGCCAGGGGAGCAAACGGG
This 255-nucleotide ribosomal RNA is filed under the name uncultured bacterium. Its description in RNAcentral is "partial 16S ribosomal RNA". It matches the Rfam family "Bacterial small subunit ribosomal RNA", at positions 524 to 776 of the family's 1533-position model. The record is from RNAcentral.